GGAGCGAUUUCUGAGUGGUUAAGGAAAUUGACUAGAAAUCAAUUGGGCUCUGCCCGUGUAGGUUCGAAUCCUGCUCGCUGCG
This is a non-coding RNA of Angiostrongylus cantonensis (rat lungworm), 82 nucleotides long. NCBI's taxonomy places the organism in Eukaryota, Metazoa, Nematoda, Chromadorea, Rhabditida, Metastrongylidae. The record is from Rfam.